RNAcentral lists this ribosomal RNA (460 nucleotides) under uncultured bacterium. Its description in RNAcentral is "partial 16S ribosomal RNA". It matches the Rfam family "Bacterial small subunit ribosomal RNA", at positions 338 to 795 of the family's 1533-position model. The record is from RNAcentral.
CCUACGGGGGGCAGCAGUGAGGAAUAUUGGUCAAUGGACGAGAGUCUGAACCAGCCAAGUAGCGUGAAGGAUGACUGCCCUAUGGGUUGUAAACUUCUUUUAUAUGGGAAUAAAACGUUCCACGUGUGGGAUUUUGUAUGUACCAUAUGAAUAAGGAUCGGCUAACUCCGUGCCAGCAGCCGCGGUAAUACGGAGGAUCCGAGCGUUAUCCGGAAUUAUUGGGUUUAAAGGGAGCGUAGGUGGAUUGUUAAGUCAGUUGUGAAAGUUUGCGGCUCAACCGUAAAAUUGCAGUUGAAACUGGCAGUCUUGAGUACAGUAGAGGUAGGCGGAAUUCGUGGUGUAGCGGUGAAAUGCUUAGAUAUCACGAAGAACUCCGAUUGCGAAGGCAGUUCACUGGACUGCAACUGACACUGAGGCUCGAAAGUGUGGGUAUCAAACAGGAUUAGAUACCCUUGUAGUC